RNAcentral lists this transfer RNA (76 nucleotides) under Candidatus Amesiibacteriota bacterium. RNAcentral describes it as "Candidatus Amesbacteria bacterium (hot springs metagenome) tRNA-Glu". It matches the Rfam family "tRNA". From Rfam's summary of the family: Transfer RNA (tRNA) molecules are approximately 80 nucleotides in length. Their secondary structure includes four short double-helical elements and three loops (D, anti-codon, and T loops). The record is from RNAcentral. Lineage: Bacteria; Candidatus Amesiibacteriota.
GGCGCUAUCGUCUAGCGGUCUAGGACACGAGGUUUUCAGCCUCGGUACCUGGGUUCGAAUCCCAGUAGCGUCACAA